UUGAUUUGUUCCAACUGCAGUCUCGUGUAAUGAGCACACUUGUAUUCAUCAAAGUACUACAUAACAAAACAUAAUAUGCAUGAUUUAGUUAAAAGUAAUAAAUAAUAUGAAAUAUUCGAUAAAUAUUAAACAAAUCCUAAGUUAUAAAUCCAUACCGUGAUUGAAUCUCUAUUGAUUCAUAUUAAUGAUUUCCCUCAUAAACCUCAUUACAAAGUAUCCGCAAUCGAUACCGUUGCGCUGUAGAGGACACUACAUAGAAAAAAAUAAGAAUGUAUAGUUAUCUUUUCUUAUCAAGUAGCAUCACUAUUAUAAGCAAAAUUGUGAAAAUUAAAGUACCUGCACUUUUAUCCACGUAAUGUUGCUGGAUUUAGUACGUGGUACUGAGCUUGUCUUUUGAGAUCGGAACACUUUUAUUGAUCUAACAAAAUAAAAACAUAUAUUUAGAACAAUCUCACAUAAAUAUACACGAAUAUUAGAACAGUCUCACUUACGUAUCAACUAAUUGCUUCAUAUCCGGAUAAUUUGUCCAUUCACCCAUCUUCACGGGUCCCAAUUCAGUUCUCAUUCCCAUGUUUACCAUGUCCUUCUUAACAUUAAGGCCAUCCUUAGACUUUCNCCACAAGAAGGCAAACAUGGAGCCUUGAGCAAUUUGCUGGACUUACAUCAGCAUCGGACCAAACGACGACACUGGACCCAAAUGCCACCGAUGGACUUACAUGCAGUUCAAGGCACACAACAACCCAAAAAAAAACAGUUAGUUAGGGAGUCGGGGACUCGAGCCUAUAACUGUCAAGCACACAUCAAACAGACAGACCACAAAUUUAAGGAGGUCAGGCACCGAGCCUAGCAACUGUCAAACAACACACACAAGAAGAAAAAAGGGCGCCCGGAGCGAGAUCAGCUCAAUCUCCUGCCUUACAUACUUCAUCUGGUAUGAAGAUCAGGGCGAUGUAGUUCCCCUACGAGGGUAAAGGACUAGCCUACCAGAAUAACAGAGGGAGGACACAAACUCUAACGGAGACUACGACUCUGAGCCUAGAUGUUGUCAUGCCCCAAAAUCAACCCCUAAGUAGUUAUCUAGCUAAAUGGCCACAAGGGCCAACCUAUCCUUAAGCAUGGCUUCACAGGAGCAAGCCCACACACACACUUAACUUGGCACAGGAAGCAAGCCAGAAAACCUACUUUGCCACGGAAGCCAGUCUAAAACAUAAUCCUAACUUGCACAGGAAGCACAUCAAAACAUCCUAACUUGCACAGGAAGCAAUUGUCAAAACAUAUCCUUACAAGCACAGAUAGCCACGCCGCUAUACACAAACAAAGUGGCAUCAACAAGGUUAGGGUUUUAAGUCAGGGUCAUAUUCAACCUCGACAAACAACCUCGGAAACUGGGGUGAAUGUUUGCUCUUAACCUUGCAAUUGCAGGGGCUAAGCGUGAAGCAGCCUGAAAGGAUGAGGAGCGAUGAGACCUCCAGCUUUAUCCCUGGCCACGGGAGAGCUCAAGACCAAGAUGUGUGGUUUCAGGAAGGUGGGAACCCUUCUACACAUUUAAAACUGACUCAAUGUACAAUUGUUUACAAGAUCUGGUUUGUAUCUGCCAAUGCAUCAACACAGUGGUGUGAGCAAAGCAGAUGACACACUGAAUAGUGGGGGACAGAUUGGCAUAUCCCUACCUUCACAAUUGCCUCUUCACUUAGCGAGGUCUUUGACUCUAUGCAAGGACAAAGCAAACAGUCACAAACAUUGCCUCUUAAGGAUGACUUCAGACAGUUGCCUGGCCAAGUAACAGGCCAGGUCUUCCAGACUACAUGAAGUAAAGAGAUACCUCAAUGCCAAAUGCUUAUGCCAAAGCAAACAAAGUCAAAAGUCAAGCGAACUAAAAGCAACUAAAUACCUGAACAGUCAAACAGAUGUUAGUAUGUGAACUUCAAACAAAACAAACAGAAACAGACACCAACAGUCAAUUAGAGGCACAUGGAAGUGCAAGCAUAAGGCUUAGGGCAUGUGAGCCAAGCCACCUACAAAACAAACAAGUUAGGCAAUGAUAUUGACCAGACUCAAUCAAAAAGAAGUGGUCUCAUUGGUCAAUUGUUUGGUCAACCUGAAAACAUGAGCUCAAAGUGAGUAACAGGACACUAGGGCCAAGCCUAGGGUCAAAAAUGAAUGAGAAAGUCAAAACAGCAAAGGCAAGCAUCCAAAUCAUGUUCAAACCAUUAAGAAACACGAACACUUGGGUUCACAUCCAUAUCAAUCACUAUCAUCAUUUAAUGAACCAUUUAGGUCAAGUAUGGCAAACAGAAGCUCAUAGAAGUCAACAGCAAGACUUGCAUCAAAAGUCAACUAAAACAUUUCCAAAAAAUCACCAAAUAAAUCUAUGGUCAAUCCUAACACAUAGCAUGGUAAGCAUGUCAAUUUCACCUCAUUUGACAAGUGGAGGCAGUCAAUGAAAAUCAGAAGUCAAAGCAAUUUCUUGAACUGCUCAAUGAAGUCGAAACGCAAACAUGCAUCAACUUAGAAAAUCAUAAGCUCAGAGAUGGUGUAUGAUAAAUGAUGGAACUAAAAACCAUGGCAAAAUGAGGAUGUCUAGUUCUCUCAUGUAAAAUUCAUGUCCAUCUAAUAAAGUAUGAGAUUUCACAAAUGAAAUGGGAACAUGUGUCACACAAAGUCAACAAUUGACUAGGCAGGGGAGAAAAUCUCAAAAAAUUAGGAAAUGCCACAAAUAAUUCCAAGAAUUCACAUGUAAACUAGACAUACAGAGUAGGUUCAUGCAAAAAUUCAAUCCAUUUUGGGUUAAGAAGCAUGGUAAUGAAAAUCAUGAAGUUGGACAUCAAUGGCUUGACACAAAUUGUCACACCCUAGAUUCAAAAUUCAUAACUCACAAACCACACAAGAUAAAAUCACCAACUCUACACCAAAAUCACCAUGAGUGUGUCUAGUUUAAGCACAAAAAUUUUGGAGCCAUUGGAUACAUUCUCAUCAUUUCACAAAUGUUUUGGCAAAGUGUAGCAAAUGUGCAUACAUGUUCACACACCCUAGCACCAUUAACAAACCAACCAUCCAAAAUUCUGAAAAUAAUGAUAAAAAACUAGGGAUCAUGGGAAGGCAUAUGCAAAAAAUUCCCAUUCAAAUUGGAUUAAAAUUGAACAAGUUAUGAUUUUGGAAGUUUGAGUGGUUAUUAAAUGAAAUAAAAUUGAAAAUUAAAUGGAUUAAUGCGAAUAAUAGAAACAAUGGGGGGCUGAACGCCCCGGUCAACGCGCCACAUGGCCAAUAGCAGGACGGCAUGGCAAUUCACUUGGACAAUGCAGCGCCUCCUUUUUAAUAUAUUUUUUAUAGAAGGCGUUUAAAUAAUGAAUUGGCAUUGCGCCCCCAGUGGUAAAACACUUGGUAUUUGAAGCACAAGAGCCGGUCGGGUUCGAAUCCCCCUCGCCCCCAGGCCUUUUUGGCAUUUAUUUAGAACAAGCAAGGCACAUACAAACGCUACAGUAACAUGCUAUGCGAAAAAACAUUUAUUGCAGAAAAUGUAUUACAGUAACAUAUUGUAGAAAAAUAUAUUGCAGAAAAAACACUUACAGUAGCAGCGUUUUCAACAAUUACAACCCAAGUCGAAAUUUUUUUUUCCAAAUUCAAAAAACAGAUAUAUCAAACGUUAUCUCUAAUGCCCUCAUCAAUAUUCCAAAAUCAAUUUACCCUAAGCACGAACUAACGAGGAUGAAUCGAGCCAAAACAAGUUCACAUCAUCAAACUAUCAAUCCAACAUAACUUUCAAAAUAAAGACCAUUUUCAAUCAUUCAAAGUGCAGUGUGAUCAGCGGAAAGGUGAUCUACAAAGUGUGUGUCAUGGUUUUGCAAUGAAGAAGUUUCGAAAUUUACCAGUUGGUAUGAACAGUCGUGGUUCGGUUGUUAUUGGUAGCUUUGGCCUGGAACAGAUGCACCUUAAGCUUUGAACUGAUGGAUGCUUGAAGUACUUUGCUCACUGAUGCUUGAAUGGAAGGACACGCAUGAUGCCAUUGCUGAUGUCUCUUGUAGCAGCAGUGGAAAAGGAGUUUACAGAUGGAGGGAAGUGUGGAAUGACGUUCAAAAUGUUGUUUUGCAUCAUUGUGAACCAACAAAGCUUGCUCAUGGUCUUUUUGAGUUUUUUUUUUGACAGAGUUUGGAAAAAUGCCACAAAUGAAGUUUGAGAGCACAAGGUUUUUUCAGUUGGUUAUUGUUGGCUGCUACUUUUGUUUACAAUGGCAGAAAAUCAUCUUUGAUAUGCUGUUUGAUGUUGCUUUAGGCAAGCCAAGUUUGGUCCUUUGAGAGUUUUGCCGAUAGCUUUUGCAAAAGUGUGAAAAUGUGAUCUUUUGAGAGAAAUGAGUGAGCCAAUCUCUCUUGCUGUCAAUGUGGCGCCGCAGCUGGUUUUUGUGACAGAAAAUGAGGUAAACUUCUGUUUUUGAUGUACAGGCAUGGUCCAUGGAUUUGUGGGAUGUGGUUUUGGUUGGAUGAAAUUGUACUUUCUUUCCAAAAUAAGCAACUAGCAUGGGCUGUAUGUACUUCAUGGGAAUGGGGCUUCCAACAAGUUUUAAAUAACAUUUCUGAACAUAUUCCAAUGGCCAAAUGGUUAAAGAUGAUUAAAUCAAAAGUCAACUCUUGCGUCAAACUUGAAUUUAAAUGAGACAAGUAAAAAUGCCAUUGCAUUGGUGAAGUUUUGGCUUAUGAAAUUUAUAUUUUUGAAAGGGGACAAUGUGACUUGUAGGAAAAACCCCACCCAAUUGGCCAAACGGUUUGAGAGAUAUGGCCUUUUGAAGUUCAAGAAUUAUCUGAAGUCGAUUCGAUCAUAACUUGCCAACCACACAUGGAAUUAAGAGUUCUUGGACUUUGGAAAUGGAGAACAAGAAUCUUCAACUUAUUCAUGUGGCAAAAAUUCAUUUGAAGCUUGUAUUCAUGAUGUAAGUUGAGGAUCAAGACUUUCCAUUUUUGGUAAGUUUCAGUUACAGGUCCAGUUUCCAUUUUUGGAAAUUUUUAUUUUGAUCUGCUUCAAUUCUUCCAUGAUGGUGUUUGACAUGAUAUAUGAAGGCUAUUUGGCCAUGAAUGAGCUCUCACAACCAAUUUCCAUCAUCAAAUCACUGAUUAAAUGGACAGUUGACCAACAGUUGACUUUUAGGGUUUCUGACUGUCUGCUCAUUGACUGAUGACUUCCAAACCCUAUCCUGAGAACUUGACCUCAAAUGAUGUCCCAAGUUGUUAACUUCUUGAUUAUUGAUCAUGGUGCCAAAUUCCGCAAGAAUGGCCACCAUCCACUGCCUGACUAACUGUUGACUUUCUUUGACUUUUGCUGUCUUAUAUGAACUGAUGACCUCUGAGCCUUCAACCCUUGACUUGAACACUUCAAAUGGACCUCCAAGUUCAUCUGAACUGUUGGACAAGCCCUAAGGCUGGCUCAAUGAAUGAUGUGCUUGCCUUGCUUGAUUGACUUGAUCUCCUGACCAGUUUGACCUAAUUUCUUGCUUGGCUUGCAACUUGAGGCAAAGAGGCAAUGCAAUGCUAUGCAAUGGACCAUGAUAUGCUAUGACUAAUGAAAAUGUAUGUACAAUGACAGGUGCAAAUUUGAGGGUGCUACAAUAGGUGAUUAAUUUUGUAUGAAAUUAUGUGUUUUACUAGCACCAACACCUAAAAUAAAAGUUUGUUAUUACAUUUGUUAUUUUUUAAAAUUAUUAUCAGUGUCGCUGUAAGAGUGUAUUUAGUAUGUAUGUAUUAGUAAGUGCUACCGUUUGGCAAAUGGUUAUAGCCAUUAGAGAAAACAUAUUGUUUUUCAUAAUAUGUGCUGAAUGGUUUUGGUUUUGGUCAUGUUUAGAGGUGAAUGUGAGCUGCAUUUGUUUAUUUUUGCAUUAAAAUUUCAUGGUGAUUGGAGUUUGUUUAAACCAAACGGAUUUUCUGUAGGAUGUAUUUGUCGAGGCUUCUUUCGAACACGAUUUGCCUACGGUGCUCUGCGAAUGACUUCCUAUGGAUUCCUUUUCUAUGGUCCUGGUUCUUUCUGCCUGGUACCAGUUGCUUGAUCAUUGUCUCCCUAAACCAAAUGUCCAACCUAAUGCUAAAAGUAUUGUAUUUAUGCAUUGUAGAAGCAUGCCAGUAGUAAGGAUAGUCACAGCUUCUAAUUUCUCUUCUUUUUUAUCUUUCUUUUGACAGGUUUACUAAACCAGAUUGUGUUGGGUCCGGUGUCAUUGCGGUUGUCUUUGCGUGGAACAAUUUAUGCAACAGAAGCUCUCAGAGCUUCCAGAAAAUACAGAAGAGAUGCUCUGCCAGCUUUACUUUAUGGUAUAAACAAAUCUCAUUGCCUAAUUGUUACUCUGAGUUACUGAUAUGCAUAUUUCUAAUACCUUCUGUGAAAUUUUCUGUUCAGGGUUUAGAUUUUGGGCUCCUGUCGAUGUGUUAAACUCUGGUACGUAUUCACAUGCAUGAUUUAGCAUUCAAUUAUCUACUAAUUAUUCUAGUUAUUUGGGUUUGAAUUGCUUAGACAUUGAUGAGUCUUACAUGCACUGAAACAAUCGGAAAAGAAGAUCUGGAACAUAUUUUUCGGCAUCAAGAAUUAGCGUCGGUGUUAUAACACACAUACAUCCGGUAAUCCGAUCUAUAUAUUAUUUAAUUACUUGAACAAUUUAUUUACACAUUUCAUAAAAAAUAGUCUAAUGUUUAUUAUGUUUUUAUUUAAGGUUCUUGUAUGACAAUUUCAUGCGCGGGAAUGAUCAAUUGUCAAACAGAUUCCGUUUUUUCGUGUCUUCUCCCUGGUCAACAAAGCAUAAUUGUAGGGAACCGGAUUCAUGUAGAGAGUACUUAGUCAAGAGAUUCAUGGCCAGCAGUACAAACACUUGUAUCUUUGGCCGUAUAAUUCAGGGUUAGAUUUUAAUUCUAAGUUUAUUCUAAUCUUUAUUGUUUCUUUUACAUAAAAAAUUCCAUAUUAACUUUUGUUUUAAUUUAUAGGUGUCACUGGUUGUUGCUUGCUAUUGAUCCUUUAAAAGAAGUGGUAUAUUUUCUGAAUCGAUAGAUGGUGAAUGGACAAAUUAUCCGGAUAUGAAGCAAUUAGUUGAUACGUAAGUGAGGACUGUUCUAAAUUUUCGUGUAUAUUUAUGUGAGAUUGUUCUAAAUAUAUGUUUUUAUUUGUUAGAUCAAUAAAAGUGUUCCGAUCUCAAAGACAAGCUCGAGUACCACGUACUAAAUCCAGCAACAUUACGUGGAUAAAAGUGCAGGUACUUUAAUUUUCACAAUUUUGCUUAUAAUAGUGAUGCUACUUGAUAAGAAAAGAUAACUAUAAUUCUUAUUUUUUUUUUCUAUGUAGUGUCCUCUACAGCGCAACGGUAUCGAUUGCGGUACUUUGUAAUGAGGUUUAUGAGGGAAAUCAUUAAUAUGAAUCAAAUAGAGAUUCUCAAUCACGGUAUGGAUUUAUAACUUAGGAUUUGUUUUAAUAUUUAUCGAAUAUUUCAUAUUAUUUAUUACUUUUAACUAAAUCAUGCAUAUUAUGUUUUGUUAUGUAGUACUUUGAUGAAUACAAGUGUGCUCAUUACACGAGACUGCAGUUGGAACAAAUCAAGAGGAAUUGUGUCAAUAUUUUAUUGAGAAAAGAUUAAUUAGUAUAUAAUGGUUUCAAAAUAACAUGAAUACUUUGAUGAAGAAUGGUUUCUGGUUGGCAAGUGUUAUGUUUUUUAUAUUUUUUACAGAUUAGUUAUGACUCCAAAUAGGCGUAUAACAUAUUAGUUUUGACUUGUGUAUAGUUUUUAUAAUUUUAGUGAUAUCUUUAAUUUCAUGGAUAGAUUAAUGUGUUCAUUCUUGUGUUGGUUUGCUUUAAAAAUUACAAUGCUUGAAUUAUGACUCCAAAUGUGUUCAGUGCCUAUCUAUCCUUGUGUUGGUUUGCUUGAAUUAUGACUCCAAAUGUGUUCAUUCUUGUGUUGGUUUGCUUGUGUUGGCUUAAAAAAUUACAAAUGCUUGAAUUAUGACUCCAAAUGCUUGAAUUAGAGAGGCUUGAUUUACAGGUUUAUGGGAUUAUUCCCAAAAAAUAUUACAGGUUGAAAUGGUAGGCUUAAACUGAAGGCAGCGUUUUGUUAUUUUACUAGAGGAAAAGACAGCGCUUUUAUGUUAAAAAGCGCUGCUAAAGGUUGUCAAUAGAGAGCGCUUUUUACUAAAAAGCGCUGCUAAAGGUUGUCAAUAGAGAGGCUUUUUAUAAAAAGCGUGCCAUAUUAUAAGCAAAAUUGUGAAAAUUAAAGUACCUGCACUUUUAUCCACGUAAUGUUGCUGGAUUUAGUACGUGGUACUCGAGCUUGUCUUUGAGAUCGGAACACUUUUAUUGAU
This 8312-nucleotide long non-coding RNA is filed under the name Lathyrus oleraceus (garden pea). RNAcentral's name for it is "Pisum sativum (pea) long non-coding RNA (PSAT_LNC035460)". Lineage: Eukaryota; Viridiplantae; Streptophyta; Magnoliopsida; Fabales; Fabaceae. The record is from RNAcentral.